AGUGACUUCAUUUUGUCUAAGACAAAAGUAUAUGGCCCAUGGAAAUCAAGAGAGAGGUUGGUCCACAGAGAGAGGUGGUCCACAGAGAGAGGUGGUCUACAGAGAGAGGUGGUCUACAGAGAGAGGUGGUCUACAGAGAGAGGUGGUCCACAGAGAGAGGUGGUCUACAGAGAGAGGUGGUCCACAGAGAGAGGUGGUCCACAGAGAGAGGUGGUCCACAGAGAGAGGUGGUCCACAGAGAGAGGUGGUCCACAGAGAGAGGUGGUCCACAGAGAGAGGUGGUCCACAGAGAGAGGUGGUCUACAGAGAGAGGUGGUCCACAGAGAGAGGUGGUCUACAGAGAGAG
This is a long non-coding RNA of Oncorhynchus keta (chum salmon), 346 nucleotides long. RefSeq lists it as uncharacterized. The record is from RefSeq and is a predicted model, not a curated record. NCBI's taxonomy places the organism in Eukaryota, Metazoa, Chordata, Actinopteri, Salmoniformes, Salmonidae. The transcript has 3 exons.